AAGAGGGCAUUGAACUGUUGAAGGCAGCUAUAGAAAAGGCUGGAUACACUGGAAAGGUGGUUAUUGGAAUGGAUGUUGCUGCUUCUGAAUUCUUCAGUGAGAAGGAUAAGACUUAUGAUCUUAAUUUCAAGGAGGAAGUAAGAAUUGCAACUUCUUAUUAAGCCUUUUAUUUACUUAUAGCUGUUCUUUAUGCUGUUACUUCUUGCCAUUUGAGCUGAUAGAUCUGUGUCAUUGAUUUACUUCAUAUUUACCAAUGUUCAUUUCUUUAUUCUAGCGGAUUGCCCCUUUUGAGUUAAAUUCCAUGUUCCAUCCACUUCUAAAGGCAUUAGCUGAAUAUGGAAAAGAUGUCUUGGGCAUUAGUUGGGAUGGAGGAGUAUUUCAUUGCAAGUUAACUUUUGAGUGCAAAAGAAUUAGCUUACGAUGUUGUUGCCUUUCAUGCCUAUGAUAUAUGAGCUCAGGCAUAUGUAAAAAGUAAUUCUGUACAUGUUUAAUGCAUGCCAUAUUAUAUAACACCUGGUUUGCUGAUUCUACAAAAAUGGUUGGUUCCAUCCUAAUUUUCACUAUCUGACUCUGCUGAUAGAUUCUAUAUAAAGGCCUCGGUUCAGAUCAUUAUCAAGCUUGUCUCUUCUUUUAUGUUGAGACUUUAGAGGGCUUAGUGAUUCACAAAUUAAGAUGACUAGCUUGACUGUUUUCAGGUCUUAAAAGCCAAUUAUUUCCAAGAAAAAGAAGAGCUGACAGAUGCGGUAUGGAAGAACUUUUUCAAAGGCAAGCUUGCCUUCAUGCAUUGAAGCAAACAUGAUAAAGCUAUGGCCGUCCUCACAGCCGCAGCUGGAGGAACCCUCCUUAUCAUAAAGCUCGACAAUUUAACUCCCAGACAUGGUGAGGAGCGAAGUAAUAGAAGCUGGAAGGCUAGUGAACCUGUGGAAUGAAUGGGGGAUACAAAUCCUGGUCCUUGUAAGCUUCUCGUUGCAAGUAUUCCUCCUUGUCUUUGGAGGGAUCCGCAGACGUAGCUCCUCCAGCAUUCUGAUGUUCUUCCUCUGGUCGGCAUAUCUGUUGGCCAACUCCACGGCGAUAUACAUCCUGGGCCAUCUAUCAGUGGACAGCAGGUCAGAUGAGCACGAGCUGGUAGCAUUCUGGGCACCGUUCCUCCUCCUGCUGAUAGAUUCUAUACUUAGGCUGAGAUAAGGCUGAGAGGUGAUUGUAUGGACUCUUUUGUUUAAUCUCGAUGUAUGAGCUCAUAUGGUUGAAUUCUGCUGCUAUAAUUAUAUAUUAUAUAUGUUAUACAAAUGAUGCAAUAUUAUUAUAUGAAAAUAUUUUUUUUAUGGGAAAAA
Panicum virgatum (switchgrass) is the source of this 1331-nucleotide long non-coding RNA. RefSeq lists it as uncharacterized. The transcript has 3 exons. NCBI's taxonomy places the organism in Eukaryota, Viridiplantae, Streptophyta, Magnoliopsida, Poales, Poaceae. The record is from RefSeq and is a predicted model, not a curated record.